GGCUCAGUGGUCUAGCAGUAUGAUACGUGCUUCGGGCGUUGACCGCUUGAAUCUUCGAGCUUUUGGAUGCACGGGGUCCCGGGUUGAAUUCCCGGCUGGGCCC
Molecule: non-coding RNA, 103 nt
Organism: Schizophyllum amplum
Lineage: Eukaryota; Fungi; Basidiomycota; Agaricomycetes; Agaricales; Schizophyllaceae
Source: the annotation of a GenBank genome assembly